UACACAUGCAAGUCGAGCGGUAACAGGAGAAGCUUGCUUCUCGCUGACGAGCGGCGGACGGGUGAGUAAUACUUAGGAAUCUACCUAGUAGUGGGGGAUAGCACGGGGAAACUCGUAUUAAUACCGCAUACGACCUACGGGAGAAAGGGGGCAGUUUACUGCUCUCGCUAUUAGAUGAGCCUAAGUCGGAUUAGCUAGAUGGUGGGGUAAAGGCCUACCAUGGCGACGAUCUGUAGCUGGUCUGAGAGGAUGAUCAGCCACACCGGGACUGAGACACGGCCCGGACUCCUACGGGAGGCAGCAGUGGGGAAUAUUGGACAAUGGGGGAAACCCUGAUCCAGCCAUGCCGCGUGUGUGAAGAAGGCCUUUUGGUUGUAAAGCACUUUAAGCAGUGAAGAAGACUCCAUGGUUAAUACCCAUGGACGAUGACAUUAGCUGCAGAAUAAGCACCGGCUAACUCUGUGCCAGCAGCCGCGGUAAUACAGAGGGUGCAAGCGUUAAUCGGAAUUACUGGGCGUAAAGGGAGCGUAGGUGGCUCUAUAAGUCAGAUGUGAAAUCCCCGGGCUUAACCUGGGAACUGCAUCUGAAACUGUAGAGCUAGAGUAUGUGAGAGGAAGGUAGAAUUCCAGGUGUAGCGGUGAAAUGCGUAGAGAUCUGGAGGAAUACCGAUGGCGAAGGCAGCCUUCUGGCAUAAUACUGACACUGAGGCUCGAAAGCGUGGGUAGCAAACAGGAUUAGAUACCCUGGUAGUCCACGCCGUAAACGAUGUCUACUAGUCGUUGGGUCCCUUGAGGACUUAGUGACGCAGCUAACGCAAUAAGUAGACCGCCUGGGGAGUACGGCCGCAAGGUUAAAACUCAAAUGAAUUGACGGGGGCCCGCACAAGCGGUGGAGCAUGUGGUUUAAUUCGAUGC
Molecule: ribosomal RNA, 914 nt
Filed under: Psychrobacter cibarius
Lineage: Bacteria; Pseudomonadati; Pseudomonadota; Gammaproteobacteria; Moraxellales; Moraxellaceae
Description: bacterial SSU rRNA
Rfam family: Bacterial small subunit ribosomal RNA
Source: RNAcentral